UACAGAGGCCUCGAGCGUUAGGCGGAAUCACUGGGCUUAAAGCGUGUGUAGGCGGAUUGGUAAGUACCUUGUGAAAUCCCACAGCUUAACUGUGGAACUGCUCGGUAUACUGCUGAUCUUGAGCCACUCAGGGGCUACCGGAACAAAUGGUGGAGCGGUGAAAUGCGUAGAUAUCAUUUGGAACGCCAAUGGUGAAAACAGGUAGCUGGGGGGUGUGCUGACGCUGAGACACGAAAGCCAGGGGAGCAAACGGG
Molecule: ribosomal RNA, 254 nt
Filed under: uncultured bacterium
Lineage: Bacteria
Description: partial 16S ribosomal RNA
Rfam family: Bacterial small subunit ribosomal RNA
Source: RNAcentral